RNAcentral lists this ribosomal RNA (465 nucleotides) under uncultured bacterium. Its description in RNAcentral is "bacterial SSU rRNA". It matches the Rfam family "Bacterial small subunit ribosomal RNA", at positions 339 to 796 of the family's 1533-position model. The record is from RNAcentral.
CUACGGGAGGCAGCAGUCGAGAGGCUUCGGCAAUGGGGGAAACCCUGACCGAGCGACGCCGCGUGGAGGAUGAAGGCCCUUGGGUUGUAAACUCCUUUUGUCAGCGAAGAAAUGCGAUCAGGUGAAUAAUCUGGUCGCUUGACGGUAGCUGACGAAUAAGCUCCGGCUAACUCCGUGCCAGCAGCCGCGGUAACACGGGGGGAGCAAGCGUUGUUCGGAAUCACUGGGCGUAAAGGGCGUGUAGGCGGUCAGGUAAGUGAGAUGUGAAAUCCCUCGGCUCACCCGAGGACCGGCAUCUCAUACUGCUUGGCUUGAGUACGGGAGAGGAUGAGGGAAUUCCUGGUGUAGCGGUGAAAUGCGUAGAUAUCAGGAGGAACACCGGUGGCGAAGGCGCUCAUCUGGCCCGAUACUGACGCUGAGGCGCGAAAGCUAGGGGAGCAAACGGGAUUAGAUACCCCUGUGUCC